AAAAGCGCAAUUUGCCCCUUCGCUCAAAAACGUGCGGACCUUAGGCCGGGUCGGACUCGGGUCGAUCCAUGUCCCAAACGACGCCGUUUUGAAGGGCUAUUUAAGCCACUAACUUCUGGAAAAAAAAUUCAUUUUAAGCCUCCUUUAGAAAAAAAAAACAAAAAAAACUCUCUGAGGAGCUCUACCCCUCCCCAUUCCUCCGGCC
RNAcentral lists this long non-coding RNA (205 nucleotides) under Gossypium raimondii (Peruvian cotton). RNAcentral's name for it is "long non-coding RNA (GRAI_LNC006239)". The record is from RNAcentral. Lineage: Eukaryota; Viridiplantae; Streptophyta; Magnoliopsida; Malvales; Malvaceae.